RNAcentral lists this long non-coding RNA (233 nucleotides) under Elaeis guineensis (African oil palm). RNAcentral's name for it is "long non-coding RNA (EGUI_LNC009843)". Lineage: Eukaryota; Viridiplantae; Streptophyta; Magnoliopsida; Arecales; Arecaceae. The record is from RNAcentral.
GAAGAAGAGUCUUUCUUCUUAUAUGCUGAUUUUUAGAGAGGAAAGGUUCCUCUUGGAUGCGUGAGAAAAGAUGAAAGAAAGGAUUCUCUCAUGCGUGGAAGAAAAGAGAAGAAAGAGUUUUUCUUUAGAUUUCUAGCGUAGAGAUUUUUAUCCUCCUAUUCUUCUUCUUCUCUAAGAGUGUCUUGAGAGAAAAGAAGAAUUCUAUACACUAUUAAGAUAUGAUAUUUGUAAGG